UCCGUAGGUGAACCUGCGGAGGGAUCAUUACCGAGUUAUUCAACUCAUCAACCCUGUGAACAUACCUAAACGUUGCUUCGGCGGGAAUAGACGGCCCCGUGAAACGGGCCGCCCCCGCCAGAGGACCCUUAACUCUGUUUCUAUAAUGUUUCUUCUGAGUAAAACAAGCAAAUAAAUUAAAACUUUCAACAACGGAUCUCUUGGCUCUGGCAUCGAUGAAGAACGCAGCGAAAUGCGAUAAGUAAUGUGAAUUGCAGAAUUCAGUGAAUCAUCGAAUCUUUGAACGCACAUUGCGCCCGCCAGUAUUCUGGCGGGCAUGCCUGUUCGAGCGUCAUUACAACCCUCAGGCCCCCGGGCCUGGCGUUGGGGAUCGGCGGAGCCCCCCGUGGGCACACGCCGUCCCCCAAAUACAGUGGCGGUCCCGCCGCAGCUUCCAUCGCGUAGUAGCUAACACCUCGCGACUGGAGAGCGGCGCGGCCACGCCGUAAAACACCCAACUCUUCUGAAGUUGACCUCGAAUCAGGUAGGAAUACCCGCUGAACUUAAGCAUAUCAAUAAGCGGAGGAA
RNAcentral lists this ribosomal RNA (567 nucleotides) under Fusarium solani. RNAcentral describes it as "eukaryotic LSU rRNA". The stretch from base 181 to 334 matches the Rfam family "5.8S ribosomal RNA". Lineage: Eukaryota; Fungi; Ascomycota; Sordariomycetes; Hypocreales; Nectriaceae. The record is from RNAcentral.